This 425-nucleotide ribosomal RNA is filed under the name uncultured bacterium. Its description in RNAcentral is "partial 16S ribosomal RNA". It matches the Rfam family "Bacterial small subunit ribosomal RNA", at positions 354 to 796 of the family's 1533-position model. The record is from RNAcentral.
GUGAGGAAUUUUGCGCAAUGGGGGCAACCCUGACGCAGCGACGCCGCGUGGAGGACGAAGUCUUUCGGGAUGUAAACUCCUGUCAGUGGGGACGAUAAUGACGGUACCCACAGAGGAAGCACCGGCUAACUCCGUGCCAGCAGCCGCGGUAAGACGGAGGGUGCAAGCGUUGUUCGGACUUACUGGGCGUAAAGCGUAUGUAGGCGGCAAGUUAAGUGCAAUGUUAAAGCCCACGGCUCAACCGAGGAGAUGCAUUGAAUACUGGCUAGCUAGAGGGUGUUAGAGGAAGACGGAAUUCCCAGUGUAGCGGUGAAAUGCGUAGAUAUUGGGAGGAACAUCGGUAGCGAAAGCGGUCUUCUGGGACAUACCUGACGCUGAGGUACGAAAGCGUGGGGAGCAAACGGGAUUAGAAACCCUGGUAGUCC